Molecule: small nucleolar RNA, 132 nt
Organism: Sorex fumeus (smoky shrew)
Lineage: Eukaryota; Metazoa; Chordata; Mammalia; Eulipotyphla; Soricidae
Source: RefSeq, a predicted model, not a curated record
UACCAGAGUGUUGAGUCUAAUUCAGGGCUGCUUCCCUGUUUGGUUAUUAAACUUUGGGACAUUAAGAAAUGAACUGAGGGAGAUGAUUGAGUAGAAGGCAUUUCUCUAUUCAUUUUCUUCUAGACUGUAGCA